CGUGUUUACACACUGAUGUAAUAUGGUUGUUAAACAUUACAAACCUGUAAUAGUAUAAGACACUAUACACCUCGUGUGCUUGCAUUAACUUAUCCAAAAAUAUAUUUAUUUCAAGCCUAAAUAUUUCGACAUGUUAUUUACAUUUAAUAAAUUUUAGAAUCACAAUUUCCGGUUAAGAUUUGACUAAAUACCAAAUUCUUGAUAUCGUCAGGUAAAUAUGCUACUUUUAGUAAAGUACAUUAAGUAUUUGACAUUUCCGGAAUGAGUCCUGCAUCUUCAAGAUUAUAUCAUCAAUACAAACAUGUUAACAUUACAAAUUAAAAAAAAAAAAAAAAAAGCUGAAUGCGGAAGGAUGCACGAUAAUGUAAUAUAAAGUAGUUAUUUUAAAUUAUGAGUUAAAAUUCCAAAAUGAAGAAGUGUUAGCUCAUACAUUUUUGUUUCGGCACACCAUUUGCUUUUUUGAGGAGAAUCUUGAUAUUCUAGAAUUGUCAGGUAAUUUGAUACAUUUUUAUUAUUUUUAUGAAAUAAGUUAUUGAAUAUCAAACUUUUAUUUUUAUAUGAAUGAUUCUUGUAGUAUGCUAUUUCAAUGGUAUGAAUGUUUAGACCUUUUUUUUUCGUCAAUCUUACUCAAGACGUUUCAUGUUUCAUGUUGACACUGUUGUUCUAAUUCAACAAUACAACGUUAGUUAACAUUGAAAUCACACAAACGUCAUCGUCAAAAUGUGUCAUUGUAUUUCCUAAAAUGCACAGUAACCAAGCUUUAUAUAGGGGUUUUAGGGUUCUGUCAUAUUUAUGAAAAUAUAACCAAAUGACAAACGCUUAUUUGUUGCAAAAUCUACAUCAGCGAUAGUCUUUUACUAGUAAUUGUUUGCAUCAUGUGAUAGAGAGAGAGAAAAAGACUUUCUUGUUUUUAUAUAGAUUAGACCGUUGGAGUUCCCGUUUUUAUAUAGAUUAGACCGUUGGUUUUCCCAUUUUUAUAUAGAUUAGACCGUUGGUUUUCCCGUUUUUAUAUAGAUUAGACCGUUGGUUUUCCCGUUUUUAUAUAGAUUAGACCGUUGGUUUUUCCCGUUUUUAUAUAGAUUAGACCGUUGGUUUUCUCGUUUUUAUAUAGAUUAGACCGUUGGUUUUCCCGUUUGAAAGAUUUUAAGUAAUUUUUGGGGCCCUAUAUAGCUUGCUGUUCUGUGUGAGCCAAUGCUCCGUGUUGAAGGCCGUACUUUGACCUGUUAUGGUUUACUUUUGCGAAUUGUGACUUGGAGAGUUGUCUCAUUGGCACUCAUACCACAUUUUAUUUUAACUACUGUUGCGAGUUAUAGUAAAUAAUAAAAAAUCAAUAUGAGGAACAUUUGAAACUAACAUAAAAAUUAUAUUGUCAUCGACAAUAUUUCCGUUCAAAUAAGGUUGUUUAGGUUUUGGAAGUCAGUUUAUGCAAAGGGAGUAGGUCCAGUAAAAAGACCCCUUUUUGGCCCCAAAGUGAAGCAGUUUUUCAAAAUUGUAAAAAUGUAAAUUUUUAGCUAUUUUUUUUUAAAGUAGAAUACUUCUGCUACAUAAGUAUGGACUGAUUUGACAAUACAUUAAACAAUUAUCGGGUACUAGCAUCAUUAAUUUAUGUUAAAUUACUGAAAUCUUCACAAUUUUAGCAUUUGAGGUAAGUUUUAGACGGUUUCUGUCUUAAAUGGAAGUGGCCGCAUUUGUUUUCAUUUUAAUUAUUUAAAUGUAAGUUGUAUGUGAUGAUAAUUUAUAACACAUAUAAAGGACGAGAGUAAACACGGAUGCGGCCACUUUUAUUUUUGACAAAAAACGUCAAAAACAUUUUAUGGCAUAUUCGAUAGAUUUUUUUCAUAUUUUAGCUUCGAAUUUGAGCGUCUUUAAUGACUAAAUCAGUUAAAAAAUUUCAUAUAAACUAAUUGAAUCGACUGAAGUAGACACUUAAGUGUUUAAAAGUGUCCAAAAUCUUUUAUCAGAUGAACCUAAAAUUUGAAGCCAAAAUCGGCUCUUACCGGACCUACUCCUUUACAUAAUCAUCGUUUUAGAAUUGAAUUAAACGAUGAUAUAAAUCUAUGUUUGGUACUUUUUAUUUAAUUUUAUUAAUAUAAAAUAAAUCCUGUAGGCUACACAAACUUUCUGAUGUAACACUGAGAGAGCAAAGGGGAAAUACAAUUGACAGUAUCUCAUUCCUUCCGUUCAAAAUAAACAAUCAAUUUUUGUGUAUUAUGAAUUUAAUGUAAAAGUUUAGAUGGUUAGACAGAUGCACUUAAAAUUCGUAUGAUUCAGAAAUGUUCAAAUGAUUUUUCUAUAAAGUUAAUUUAAGAGCUAUAUGAAUUUCUGGAUGAGGAGUCUUUAUUUGUCUUUUCUUUAAUAUUGUUUUUGUCCAUAGUCUGAUUAUUCUAUUUUCUUAGUUUUGUGAACAUUUUAAGAAAAGAUUGGCACAUGAAAUCAGAAUGAAAAUAUGUGUUCUCUCAUUUGUGAUAAAUCUUCACAAUUUUUUUGUAAUCAAUUACACUGUAGGGUUUACCCCUGAAAAUAUAAUUAUUUUUUCAAACAAAAACAAAGGAAACAAGAAUGUGUCCAAAGUACACAGAUGCCCCACUCGCACUAUCCUUUUCCAUGUUUCAUGGACCGUGAAAUUGGGUAAUAAUCUAAUUUGGCAUUAAAAUUAGAAAGAUUUUACUAUAGGGAACAUAUGUAAAGGUUUACCCCUGAAAAUAUAAUUAUUCUUUCAAACAAAAACAAAGGAAAAAAUGUCCUUCCAAAACCAGUUCCAGACGAGGUUAAUACUAUGAGUAAUUAUGUGGUAUUUCGAAGAAAACACAGAUUUAAUUUACACUGUACCAUACACUUUUCAUAUCGAAAAGUUGUGAAACAUGAAUACAUGGAAAGACCAGAUGAUGUUUCACAUUGCCUUAAAUAUAUGUAAAUUACUAAAAUUACAUUUAUUUUCAUUGGAAAUUGAGUUUGCUUCUGUGAUUUCCGUAUGGAGUGUUACCAAAAUUAGAACACUUUUUAUCAGAUGCUUACCAUCAAUUUCAUAUAUAAAAACAAAAAUUAAGGAAAAAGAUAAUCUGAACAAUAGCGUUGAACUUCCUUCCUCUGAACAGAACUUUUUUCCCGCAGAUUCUGUUAUAUUUAUUUUUUCAUUAUCAAUGAAAGAUGUUUAUCAGCUCUUUGGUCGGUUGAUUGUUUCUUUAACACAUUCCCCAUUUCCAUUCUAAAUUUAUGUAGUUUUGCUUAAGAGUAAUUUGAUAGCCAGUAAUUCAUUUCUACCUAAAAUCUUAAUAUGUCAUUCUAAAUGUACGUUUUCAAGUGCUACACUUGAACUGUAACUUAAACUUAUCAAGCGAUGUAGGAAAAGUUGUUCUUACAAGGUUUUUUGACAGGUAUGACAAGCCGUAUUCUAGCUAAGAUUUAAGGGUGUGGACAGACAGAGUUUUAAGAAAAGGGGCACAGUAGCGCGGUUUCUAAUAUGAAUAAGAACAAAUGGAUCAUAUUCUAAAAAGGAAAAUUGAAAAUGAUUAAAAUGGUAUGAAUGUAAUUUUGAUGGAUUUAUGUUAUGUUUUAUUAGUGAAUUUAUAUUAUUCUUUUUCUAGUAGAAAAAAGUGAUAUUAUUGCAUGAACAGUAUUUAGUAGGGGUACGAUCGUUUAAUUUUCUUGUAAUUUUCAAGGACAAUAAGAAAAUAUAAUAAAUAUAUAUAAGAAAAUGUGGUAUUAAAGCCAACGAGACAACAUAUACUCUCCAUCAAAGUCAAAAUGUAUAAAAUGUUAAUGUACGGUCUUCCACACGGAGCCGUGGUUCACAAUGAACAGUUAGCUAUAAAAGGUCCCAAAACUAAUGACAGGUUUUAUGUAUUUCGCGUGGCAAUGUUUCAAACAAUCAUUACGCGUGACGUCAUGAAAUGAUGGUAUCCUUUUACACGUCUUCUUCUCACAUUCUAUUAUUCUCACUAGGUCUUUGCCAUCCAACACAUUUAUAAAUACAUAAUCCCAUGAAAUAAGACUGAACUUAAUUGUCAAUUUUAUUUUUGUUACGGUUAUUGAAUAUGUUGAUCAAUUCCGGUUGUGAUUUUCCCCUUAGCUAUUUUCAUUAUUUUUAUUGAAACGGUCGUCAUCUUUACUUGGUACGUGUGAAUGUAAAAUAUAAUAAAAAAAAAAAGAGGUCGACAUCAAAUAUAACGUUCCUGUAAUAUGACGGGAUCUACGGAAUUAGACGUAGAUACUGUAACUGCUAAAUCUAUUCAUAUUCGUCAACAGGGGUCUUUGCUCAGUCUCACUUUAAAUAUAAACUUCCCAUAAAUCAGAUGUGAAUUCUUUUAAGCACUUUUCGUAUGAAGGCUAUUGUACAGACAUGGGAUUAAAUUUUGGUUGGUAAAUCGAAAUAACCUGCAACUAUCAUAUAUAUAAAUAAUAACGCAUAUAUAAAUCAGCUAAAGUAAGAGAAGAUAAUUACGUGGUUAUGCAAUAAUAGGUAGUAAUGCCAUAGAAGUCAAAGGAAAACCAAAGAAAUUAGAGGGAAAGUAUAGGAUCCAUCCCCGGUUGGGAAGGUAUACUAAAAACCAGAUCUACUCUAAUACUCUAGCACUUAAUAUUUGUACAUAGUUUUCUUACUUUGUAAAACAUUAACAACUAGUAUUGUAUUAUAUUUGAUAGACCCACUCCGACUGAUGAAAGCUAUUUGUUCAGCCACAAUUAUUAGGUGUCAGACCACCAAUUACUCCCUCCAAUUUAGAACGUAAAAGUAGCCCUACUCUGACACAAAAUAGUGCUUUUGAUGUCCUUGUUUACUUAAACUAACCAACAAAUUUGCAGAAAUGAAACUUUUGGUGAAAGAGAAAUAUAUCUAGAUCAUUUUGAGCCAAAAUUUACUUGUCUAUGAGUUUGCAUUAAAAAUUAUUAAUCCAUGUAUACUAAUUUUAGGUUUCCAGAAAACCACUUCUCAGUUAUUUGUUAGAAGGCUGGAUUGAUACAUGUACUAUCUAUGAAGUUCAGUGCAAUUUGGUUGAACAGAUAGGGAUUUUUAAUUGGUGGUCUGACACCUUAUUAGUAUCGCUGCGAGAGUUUUAAGACAGAUAUAUAAAAUAUUAUCGAAUAAAGACUUAUUAAAUUACCAACAGUAUAAAGUGAACAUUUUAUCAGAAGAAAGGUGUGUAGCCAUGGGUCCUUGAAUUUAUAAAUAAGAUCAAGUAUGUCAACAAAAAAUUCUUUUCUAAUAUUUAUCAAUAUUUUUAUAUCUUUUUAUAUUUCUAUGAAUUCAUAGAGAUAGAUUAGCUUGUUUUAUGCUUCAUAUACAUCUAAAAAGUAAAAUCACAGAAAUACAGAACUCCAACGAAAAUUCAAAAAAGAAAGUCCCUUAUCAAAUGGUAAAAUAAAAAGCUCAAAUACAUCAGACGAAUGGUCAACAACUGUCGUAUUCCUGGCUUGGUACAGGUAUUUUCUUAUGUAGAAAUUGGUGGAUUGAAUCUGUUUUUUUUUUUAAAAUUAAAAUAGCUAGAUAAACCUCUCACUUGUAUGACAGUCGCAUAAAAAUUUCAUUUUACUGACAACGAUGUGUGAACAAAACAAACAGACAUACUACUAGUAGGUAAAAAUAUCAAAAAAAGGAGUACAGUAGUCAACAUUAUGUUAUUAUCUUAAUCACUAUAAAAGAAACAAAAAUGUAAACAAACAUUUACCAUGGCACAAUAACAGAAUGACGGGAUAUAUAGGUAUAGAGCCACGUCAUAUGUAACAAAGAACACACACAGGCAUAUAAUGGUUUACUUCUACAAAUAGUGAAUUGGAUAGCGAGUUGUCUCAUUAACACUCAUACCACAUCUUAUUAUAUCUAUAUAGGAGAUAACAAAUUAGCAAAAAUGAAAAACAAGAAUACAAAAUUUAUCAUAACCCAAUAACACAAUGACGGGAUGUAUAAGUACAGAGCCACGUCAAAUAGAUACCAAAGUAAUUUUCAUAAAGACAAAUAAAUUAAUACUAUAAAUACGUUUACUUAUUUUAAGAUGAUAAACAACGUCAGUACCCAGAACCUAUACUUCAAGAAUAUCGUGUAAUAUUUGUGAAUUUGAUACGGAAUAUAGCAACAAAUUCUUGGGACCUUCCGAUGAACUUUUUGAUAACAGGGACGAGACGGUUUUUGAUAUACCCCUGGUUCAUCGACUUUCUGCUCAGACACUGGUGAUGUUUUACAAAGUCUGAGUAGUUGCUGCAUGCUUUUGAAUAUCGAUUGAGUUGGGAAAUGUAUGAUAUUACGAUGCUGUGUUUGACAAAAUGAAAAGUAUGCUUUAUAACAGCUCUUAACUAUAAACGCUUAGACAAUGAAUUACUUAUUCUGUAUCUGAAACUAAUUUCAAAAAUACAAUUCGUGUUUCAUAUGAUUAAUUGCUACAUUUUAUGUUGUGAUGGUUCCGGCUUUUGUGUUUUAUCAAUUAGUUUUUAAGGUUAAGUAUUCUUUAUGAAUAUAUCCAUCGAUAUUUUUAUAAGCACAAUUUGUAGAUAUCAAUCUUAGAUAUGGACUUAAUCUUAUUAUGUAUCAAUUUUAAAUUUUAAGAAGGAAAGGUGAAAUCGAUUAAAAUAAAUCCCCAGAAAUCAAGUUAAAUGAUAAAGAAAAACUCCAUAUGCACAGAGACUGUCGGAUUUAAAAAAAUCGAAAAUCAAAUAAAUGAAAAACAAUCUGUUUGGUAGAAAUACAACUAGAAAAGUCAUACUUUUUGAUGUUUGAGAUUUGUUUCACAAUAAUAUAAAGUAUAUGGUUUUAUCAUAAACUAGUAUUAUAAUUACCUCGUUAUGAUCUACGGAAACAUUGGUUUAGUGGAUGCGAACUUUGAAUAUUUUCACAAUAUAACAAGAACUCUUCUAUAUAAUUUUGACUUUUACAUUGUUUUAAAGGACCAUGUCAAAAUCUUUAAGCUUAAAUAAUUAUCAAAGGUAUCAGGAUUUUUAUUUAGUACGCCAGACGCGCGUUUCGUCUACAUAAGACUCAUCAGUGACGCUCAUACCAAAAUAGUUAUAAAGCCAAACAAGUACAAAGUUUAAGAGCAUUCAGGAUCCAAAAUUCCAAAAAGCUGUGACAAACACGGCUAAGGUAAUCAAAGCCUGGGAUAAGAAAAUGCUUAGUUUUUCGAAAAAUUCAGGAAAGUUAUAAAAAUUACCAUAUAAUUGAUAUUCAUGUCAAAACUGAUCCUCACAAUUUUGUUUAUAAUCAACUCGAUUAUUGCAGACCUUUAUAUUGCCCGCACUUCAUGGCCCAUAUUCAUAAUCAUCAGCCACGAAAUAUAUACAAUAUUGAUUUUCAAAGAGUCUUUCAUAUUAGAAAUUACAAUAUCGGUUUCUUUGAUAUUUGUUUGUCUAUGAAAAAUAAAGCUUUAAUUUAAUUGUACAUCCAACUUUGAAUAGAGAGGUAGUGGCAAUUUUCCCUGCAUAUAUUCCACACUUUUAAAAAAGGCCUUUCAUUGUUUUAUUUCCUAAUCAACCGUAUGAAAGUUUAUGGUUGCAUCGGAUAGAAAUCGACCAUAUGCAAGUGCCGUAUACAUGUACAUGCAUAAUAUUCAAUUUAUUCUAAAACAUUAAAAUACGAAAUAAAAAGUGAUUAUUUCAACUAAGUCAAAUUUCCUGUUAUGAAAGCAUUCAUAAUUAUAAAAUAUUAUGUAUGAUAGUAUAUUUCAUGAAUACAUUAAUAAGCACAAACAUUGCGUAUGCUUAAUUAUAAUUCUACAAUACAGUUCUGUAAAGGGUUUACUUUUUAAAGAUAAUUAACGAAUUUGCGGCAUUGGCAACAAUAUAUAUUCAAAGAAGAAGAUAGCAUAAAAAUAAGGCAAAACUAUGUUUUGGACGUAUGGUAUCUUUGUAGUAUUCAAUUAUGGACGCAUAGAGGUUUAAUAUAUAAAUGAAGAAAAAUAGUUUUGCCAAAUAAAAUGUGGUGAUGUAAAUUAGAAAUUACAUCCUCUAUUCAAGUAUAAAAAUAAACCAAAGAAACAUUGUAGUAUGAGGCUAAAGGGGUUCAAGCAGAUGCUGGCCACAAUAGAACGCUUAAUUUCUUUAAAGAUUUUUUUUAUACAUGUAAAUCUCAUUAGGUAAUUAUUUGUAUUCGUCAUUAAGUGUUUGCCAGAACUCUGCUUUGAGUGCCAAGUCCAUAAUAUGUGCUCAUAUCUCAAACAACUUCAAUGUAGAUUAAGUGUUGCCAAGACUCUGCAUUGAGCCAGUCAUAAUAUUGUGCUCAUUCUCAAACGACCAUUCAAAUGUGAUUAAGUGUUUGCCAGAACUCUGCUAUUGAGGCCAUAGUCCAUAAUAUGGCUCAAAUAUACUCAAACAACUUCACUAACAGAUUAAUGUUUGCCAGAACCUUCUAUUAGAGGUCAAGUCCAUAAUAUGUGCUCAAGAUAUUUCAACAACUUCAAUGCUGAAUUAAUGUUGUCCUGUUUUGUUUCAUCUUAAAUUUGAAUAUUUAAAAAUUACCGAAAUUCUAUGUAUUGUUUCUAUAUUGAAACCAGGUAAGUUUGCUAUUUAGAGUCGGGGUGCUCAUUUUCGCCUUACCUUUCCAUGUUUUCUAUAGUUUAUGUCAGGUCUAUAGUGUUUUUGAAGUAUACUGAUAUUUCUAUAGGAAGAUACUGUCAAAUGCAAAAUUUUCUUAAAGCCUGAAAACGUCUGUUGUUUUUUAAUAAUAUCUGAAAAGAUAAUAGGGUGUUUGAAAUUGCUGAUAUUUUGACAAUGGGGGACCACAUUCGCCCGUUUUACAUCUACUUUAAAACGAAAUUAACUGCAGCUUUAAACAAUAUUUAGCAAAUCAAUUUAAUUAUAGAUGAAUAGCAAGACAUUUCAAAUGCGUAAAGAACUGACAUUAGGGAAUCAGUCAAAGAAUUACUAACGAAAUGUUCUUUAAAUCGUGUUUUUCAUUCAGGAAAUUGGCCAAAAAUCAUUGUCCGUUUUUUCAGAUCCUUUGCGUAAAGUGCGCAAUUUUGUUCAGUUGAAAAACUAAUCAUUUUGUGAAUUUUUUUUUAAUUUUCCUGCAAUAAUUCUCAUUAUCACCAAACCAAGUUUUAUCACCUCACAAACAUAAAACGGCGAGAAAUUGUGUCCCGCGGGAAUAUGUUGCCCCACUCUAUUUGUUGUUUUAAUUACAUUGAUUUAAAAUGCUAUAUAUAUUUUUUCCUUUCCAGCAAAGAGCUGUCACAUACAUCCGUGCUUUAAAAUUCUCUUUCUAAAAUGAGUUUAGAUGCUAUUGUUGAAGUUUCUUUUACGUGUAUUAAAAAUAUUUUAAUGUCAAUAUAAUGUUUUCCUCUUCUGAUAUAUGAACAUCUUUUCAAAAUUAUAUAGGAAGAAUCUACCACGCCCGUAUCUAAAACUUGUCGCAAGACUGUGACGUUGAUGUCGAACAAUGACGUCAUUCACAUGUGACGUCACGUCAUAGUGACCGAACUUUUGGGACCUUAUGAAUACUUAUCCCGGCUUGGUAUAUUUUCUUANNNNNNNNNNNNNNNNNNNNNNNNNUUUUUUUUUAUAUAUCUCCUCAAUUUAAGACGAUAACACACUUUGCAAAGAGAUUUUCAGUCACCCGAAAUUUGUUAACACCUGUAAUUAAUAUUCAUUGCAGAAAGUCAAUUUCUAUUCAAGAAUCGCUUGAAUGUCGAUCUGGAGCCUAUGUUUUAACCAAGAUAUGGGUUUUGACCAUCAUUUAUUGACUUCAAUAAUGUACAGCUUUGACCAACAUGUACCUGAAAACCGUGACGAUCGUUUGAUAUUCUGAGGGGAUUAGGAUAUUGGAAAUAUUUUGGUCCGGUAAGAACUAACAUAUUGUCCUUGUCCAAAACAGGUUUAAAUUAGAAUUUUGCACAACAAUGGAGAAUGGAAAAAAAUGAAAAAAGUUUGUCAUCAAAACAAUCAAAUAAAACAAGUUUGAAAGCAAUUUGAACAUAAAUAGUAUUAAACUUAUAUGUGUAAUUAUAUAAACUUAUAUGUAUAUACAACUCGUCUAAACAUUAUGUACACGCCAUGCAUCACCAUCAUUGCUGGUGAUCCGAGGAAAAAUCUGUUGUAGAGUUGUCACUCGACUCAGACGUACUGAUAAACUUAUAUGUAUAUAUUUAUACAACUCGUCUAAACAUCAAACCCAACAAUGUUAGAUCUGUAAAUUUGCUUUCACACAUUUUUUUGUUCUUCCCUCGCCGGGAUUCGAACCAUGCUACUGAUAUAUCGUGACACACAAAUUGCCUGCACUGUAACUGGCGCGCUAGACCACACAACAACCUGGGCUUCCGAUACAAAUAUACUGGAGGAGUUAUAUGAUCAGAAGGUUACACAAAAUACAUCUUUGGGAAUCUCGACCUGAGAGAGAUGGAACUAUAGGGAUGACUUUUUUUUGUUUCGGGCUACUAUAAUAUGUUAUCAAUUUCUAUCAACAUUGUGGGGGUUUCAAUCUUAGAAUAUAAUAGCUAGUUUACGAAGUAUGCUGCAAUAUUUGUAUCUAGGGAAUUCUGUUGUUGUCAGUGAACUUAACAUCAUUUAACAUAAUGCAGUUCAUUGCAUACAUUUGUUGACAAUACUAUUUAGUAAAAACAUUCGAACAAAUGCUAAACUCUAAUUCUCUAAAACUAAGUGGUUACGCUUGGUACUUAUAAACAUCAGUUUAGCGGCAAAUGUUUCUUUGUGUUUGUAUCAUACUGUAUAAGAUACAGGAAGUACUAUAACCAGUUGCAGAGACUCGUUACAACAAAAAACAAUUAAGGACAUUUUUUAUAGAACGUUAUAUAUUUUUUUAACUAGUUUAGUGGCAUAAUGUAUGAAGCUGCCCUUCUAUUAAUAAACGGAAACUGCUCCAUUACAGACUAAUAGGGCAUUAGUAAGACCAUUAAAGAAUAAACGGGGCGUUUUGAAAAAAAUACGGGUCUAUCAAUUUUAAUUAAUUUGGAGUUUUAAAAUCCAGAGAGAAAUAUUGUAUUUUGUAAUGCCAUUUAUAAACUUUAAAUAGAAACAGCAAUGAAAACUAUGUUUUUACAUGUACAUGUUUUAUUACAUCAAAUUACUCUUUUGGCGUUGCCUUCUUGCCAUUACAGACACCCCGCUCCCCGACCCCAUUAAAAAUAACCCAGACUUUGAACUUACAACAGGUCAAUUAUGAUAAACAUUCAUAAUUUAAAAAAUAUAUGUUAUAAUGAGUUAUUUCCAUUAAUAUUACAUUAAUAAGCACAAACAUUGCGUAUGCUUAAUAUAAUUCUACAAUACAGUUCUGUAAAGGGCUUUACUUUUUAAAGAUAAUUAACGAAUUUGCGGCAUUGGCAACAAUAUAUAUUCAAAGAAGAAAGAUAGCAUAAAAUAUAGCAAAACUAUGUUUUGGACCUAUGGUAUCUUUGUAGUAUUCAAUUAUGGACGCAUAAGGUUUAAUAUAUAAAAAGGCAAAAAUAUGUUUGCCAAAAUAAAAUGUGGUGAUGUAAAUUAGAAAUACAUCCUCUAUUCAAGUAUAAAAAUAAACCAAAGAAACAUUGUAGUAUUAGAGGCUAAAGGGGUUCAAGCAGAUGCUGGCCACAAUAGAAUGCUUAAUUUCUUUUAAAGAUUUUUUUUUAUCAUGUAACAUCUCAUUAGGUAAUUAUUUGUAUUCGUAUUAAGUGUUUGCCAGAACUCUGCUUUGAGUGCCAAAGUCCAUAAUAUGUGCUCAUAUCUCAAACAACUUCAAUGUAGAUUAAGUGGUUGCCAGCUCUGCAUUGAGGCCAAGUCCAUAAUAUUCUCAUAUUCAAACACCACUUCAAAUGUAGAUUAAGUGUUUGCCAGAACUCUGCUAUUGAGUGCCAAGUCCAUAAUAUGUGCUCAAUAUCUCAAACAACUUCACUACAGAUUAAGUGUUUGCCAGAACUCUUCUAUUGAGUGUCAAGUCCAUAAUAUGUGCUCAAUAUUUCAAACAACUUCAAUGCAGAUUAAGUGUUUCCUGUUUGUUUCAUCUUAAAUUUGAAAUUUAAAACAUUACCGUAAAUUCUAUGUAUUUGUUUCUAUAUUGAAACCAGUAAAGUAUUGCUAUUUAGAGUCGGGUGCUCAUUUUCGCCUUACCUUUCCAUGUUUUCUAUAGUUUAUGUUCAGGUCUAUAUGUUUUUGAAGUAUACUGAUAUUUCUAUAGGAAGAUAACUUCAAAUGCAAAAUUUUCUUAAGCUUGAAAACGUCUUUUUUUUUUAAAUAAUCAUCUGAAAAGAUUAAAGGGUGUUUGAAAUUGCCUGAUAUUUUGACAAUGGGGGACACACAUUCGCCGUUUUUACACAUCUAUUUAAAACGAAAUAACUGCAGCUUUAAACAAUAUUUAGCAAAUCAAUUUCAUUAUAGAUGAAUAGCAGACAUUUCAAAUGCGUAAAGAACUGACAUUUAGGGAAUCAGUCAAAGAAUUACUAAGAAAUAGUUCUUUAAAAUCGUGUUUUUCAUUCAGGAAAUUGGCCAAAAAUCAUUGUCCGUUUUUCGAUCCUUUGCGGUAAGUGCCGCAAUUUUGUCUCAGUUUGAAAAAUAAUCAUAUUUGUGAAUUUUUUUUAAUUUUCCUGCAUAAUUCUUCCAUUUCAACCAACCAAGUUUUACACCUCAAAAACAUAAAACGGCGAAAUUGUGUCCCCGGCGAAUAUGUUGGCCCCACUCUAUUUGUUGUUUUAAUUACAUUAGAUUUAAAGAUGCAAUAUAUAUUUUUUUCCUUUUCCCAAAAAGAGCCUGUCACAUACAUCCCGUGCUUUAAAACUCUCUUUCUAAAAUGAGUUUAGAUGCAUACUUGUUGAACGUUUCUUUUACGGUAUUUCAAAAAUAUUUUAAUGUCAAUAUAAUUGUUUUCCUCUUCUGAUAUAUGAACAUCUUUUCAAAAUUAUAUAGGAAGAAUCUACCACGCCGUAUCUAAAAUCUUGUCGCAAGACUGUGACGUUGGAUGUCCAACAAUGACGUCAUUCGACAUAUGACGUCAUGUCAUAGUGACCGAACUAUUUGGGACCCAUUGAUGAAUACUUAUCCCCGGGAUUUUGAUUUGUUAACGCACGUCGUUACAAAACCCAUAGCCCUGAGUGUUGCUCAACAUCACCAGACGUUGCUACCCUUACAUUGGGGAAAUUCACGCGCGUUUUCCUUAGUUCCAUGGUUGUUCCUUAUGAAAUAUCGAAUUCUGUAGAUUAUCCAUGAUGUCUGUAUAAUUAGAUACUUAAGCCACUCACGAUUUUAUCUUGUUAUGUCGAUUAUUUGCAAUCAUUUUAGUAAAUGCAUCACUAUUCUGCCACAUUGUCAAUGAAUGGGACACUGACCUAGCUAUGCAAAUGACCUGUGUUGACGUUACACCGUCUAUGAUGUAACUCUCACAACUUUUCAGCGCCAAAAUCGACCCAUUUCACUUUCUCUAUCUUUAGAUUAAAAAUGUCUUAUAUUUGUCUACCUGUAGAGUUCUACCAAAGUACACCCCGUCAAAAAUAUGUCAAAAUCUCAAAUUUCAAUAAAAGUAAUUUAAAAAAAUGAAAAAAACGUUACUUUCAUGUUAAACUUUGUGGUCGAAUUUCUCUAAAAAUUGCCAGAUUUAGGCUAAGACCGGGGAUAAAUUCGUUAUCUAUGUUCAUAUCCGUAGAUAUGGAUAUUUUAACACCCUUCAGAACCCUGUACACCCUUCGGCUGCGACUCGGGGUGUACUUGGAUAAUUCAGGGUGUUAAAAUAACCAUAUAUAUGAACGUAUAUAACUUAUAAUAUAACCAUGUUUGAACUUUAGUCUUUCAUUUGAAAAAGAUACAGUACUGAAGAGAAGCUUUAAUAAAUUAAAACAUGGAUAUGUGUUCCUCCGGCACAGUCGGUGUGGACACAUAUGUCCCUCCGGCAGCAAGGUGCAUUCUAAACACCUUCUUUGUUCCAUUCGUUUAUAUAUAGGUUGUAAAUUAUUUUGUGUUAAUCAGUGAAUUUCUGUAUAGUUUCAGAUGCAGACUAAUGGCAUGGAGAACUACAUUUCAAAAGAUAACUAUUUCAUUAAUUGUGUUUUGUAUAAUUUUAAAUGGAAUAGUAAUCCGUGUGCCUAUGUUAAACUUUAGCAGAUCCCUGGAAUAUUUAGUUAGUAUUAUUCAAAAGGACACAAUUCUUUCUAAAGAUAUGGUAUGCAACAGGUAUCGUCACCUAUUAUGGGAUCUACACUCAGAUGCGUUUGAACAAUCCGUUGUAUAUGAUUACGUCAUUUUUACGUCAUUUGUAGCAUCAACAAAAAGGUUUAUUGUUCAUAACAAUACAAAACGAAACUGGCCGUCCCUUGGUGGAAACGUGAAAGCAGUAUUAUUCACAAACAGUCCCCAAUUAGCAGACGAAUUUAAAAUAGCGUGCUGGGAUGUUUUGCCUGUAGAACACGUUUCCAAAUCAGGAACACCCAUCCUUAAGUUUAUGUACAUGGCAAUUGCUAAACGCUAUAAAGCUUCGUUCAUAGGAUAUGCAAAUUCUGAUAUUUUAUUUACAAAUGGAUUAACGGAAAACCUUGAACUUCUUAAGAACAACUCAAUGUUAAACAAUACACAUACCAUGGCUACAGGUAGAAGGACAGAUGUUGCGAAUGUAAGCACGGACGAAGCAGGAUCUUUUAAAUCUUUAAUCCAUGUUUCGAGAAAGCGAGGGAGACUCUUCCGUUCAGAUGCUGAGGACUAUUUUUUCACUGACAGAUCUUAUCCAUGGGACGUUUUACCGGAUCUGGUGAUAGGUCGGGUUGCAUAUGAUAACUUUAUAUUGCUGCAUGCAAGGAUGUUAAAUUUUAGUACCAUCGACUUUUCCAAAACUGUUAGUGCUAUUCAUCAAGUCGUAGAUAAAGGCCAUAUGGAAGAAAAAUGGAAAACAAUAGAAAACGAACGAAAUUACAAUAAAAUCCUCAUAAAAAACAAUUUCCGUGAUGUAAAUUAUUAUGCAGGUACUACAAGUUGUUUGAGAUAUGAAACAAGACGAAAAACUAAUGUAACUGUAUUACAGAGGAGGCAAAAACUCCAUAAAAUUUGUUUAUAUACCACAGGCAUUUUAUCAAAGCGUUCAAAUGGAUGAAAAAACAAAUUAGUUUAAACAUAUUUUAUUUGCUCAAAGCAAAAAAGAUCAGACACAAGUAAACCAUACUUAUAAGUUUCUCCAAAAUACAAUAUAUAUAACAAUACAAAUUGAACGUGAGC
Molecule: long non-coding RNA, 15099 nt
Filed under: Mytilus galloprovincialis (Mediterranean mussel)
Lineage: Eukaryota; Metazoa; Mollusca; Bivalvia; Mytilida; Mytilidae
Source: RNAcentral